This 210-nucleotide long non-coding RNA is filed under the name Elaeis guineensis (African oil palm). RNAcentral describes it as "long non-coding RNA (EGUI_LNC065107)". The record is from RNAcentral. Lineage: Eukaryota; Viridiplantae; Streptophyta; Magnoliopsida; Arecales; Arecaceae.
UCUUGUUUGAUUCACCUCACCCAGCACAUUCACUAUCUUGGUCAAUGAAAAUUGAACAUUUACCUGAGCUAGAAACUAAACCACUACAUCCUUCAAUUCAGGCCCCACCAUAACUUGAACUGAAAUCUUUGCCUGAAUCACUUAAGUAUGUGUUUCUAAGACUUGAGAAAACCCUGCCAGUAAUCAUUGCUUCUGAUCUAACCCCCAAGC